UGGGGAAUUUUGGACAAUGGGCGAAAGCCUGAUCCAGCAAUGACGCGUGUGUGAAGAAGGCCUUCGGGUUGUAAAGCACUUUUGUCCGGAAAGAAAUCCUUGGCUCUAAUACAGUCGGGGGAUGACGGUACCGGAAGAAUAAGCACCGGCUAACUACGUGCCAGCAGCCGCGGUAAUACGUAGGGUGCAAGCGUUAAUCGGAAUUACUGGGCGUAAAGCGUGCGCAGGCGGUUUGCUAAGACCGAUGUGAAAUCCCCGGGCUCAACCUGGGAACUGCAUUGGUGACUGGCAGGCUAGAGUAUGGCAGAGGGGGGUAGAAUUCCACGUGUAGCAGUGAAAUGCGUAGAGAUGUGGAGGAAUACCGAUGGCGAAGGCAGCCCCCUGGGCCAAUACUGACGCUCAUGCACGAAAGCGUGGGGAGCAAACAGGAUUAGAUACCCUGGUAGUCCACGCCCUAAACGAUGUCAACUAGUUGUUGGGGAUUCAUUUCCUUAGUAACGUAGCUAACGCGUGAAGUUGACCGCCUGGGGAGUACGGUCGCAAGAUU
Molecule: ribosomal RNA, 547 nt
Filed under: uncultured bacterium
Lineage: Bacteria
Description: partial 16S ribosomal RNA
Rfam family: Bacterial small subunit ribosomal RNA
Source: RNAcentral